Molecule: non-coding RNA, 30 nt
Filed under: Cricetulus griseus (Chinese hamster)
Lineage: Eukaryota; Metazoa; Chordata; Mammalia; Rodentia; Cricetidae
Source: RNAcentral
CUACUGAGCAAAGGACCAAAUGUAGAACAG